This 437-nucleotide unclassified non-coding RNA is filed under the name uncultured Thelephora. RNAcentral describes it as "sequence contains ITS2". The stretch from base 1 to 155 matches the Rfam family "5.8S ribosomal RNA". Lineage: Eukaryota; Fungi; Basidiomycota; Agaricomycetes; Thelephorales; Thelephoraceae. The record is from RNAcentral.
AACUUUCAACAAUGGAUCUCUUGGCUCUCGCAUCGAUGAAGAACGCAGCGAAAUGCGAUAAGUAACGUGAAUUGCAGAAUUCAGUGAAUCAUCGAAUCUUUGAACGCACCUUGCGCCCCUUGGCUAUUCCGAGGGGCAUGCCUGUUUGAGUAUCAUGAUCACCUCAACUCUCAUGGUUUGCUGUGAUGAGGUUGGGCGCUGGGGGGUGUGCCGGCCUGUGGGCAGCUCCCCUACAGUGAAUCAGCCUGCGAGUGUUUGGUGGCAUGACGGGUUUGAUAAAGAGCUAUGCUCGUGGUUGUCUGCGAGGUGACCUUUGGUGCCAAAGGUUUGCUGGAGACCACAGAUGUCUCUCCUAAGCGAGGGCAGGUUUUUGAACGUUCGAUCUGAAAGCAGGUAGGACUACCCGCUGAACUUAAGCAUAUCAAUAAGCGGAGGCU